GACGAACGCUGGCGGCAUGCCUAACACAUGCAAGUCGAGCGAGCAGAUCCCUUCGGGGUGAAGCUAGCGGCGGACGGGUGAGUAACACGUGGGCAACCUGCCUCAUAGAGGGGAAUAGCCUUCCGAAAGGAGGAUUAAUACCGCAUAAGAUUGUAGCUUCGCAUGAAGUAGCAAUUAAAGGAGCAAUCCACUAUGAGAUGGGCCCGCGGCGCAUUAGCUAGUUGGUGAGGUAACGGCUCACCAAGGCGACGAUGCGUAGCCGACCUGAGAGGGUGAUCGGCCACAGUGGGACUGAGACACGGCCCAGACUCCUACGGGAGGCAGCAGUGGGGAAUAUUGCACAAUGGGGGAAACCCUGAUGCAGCAAUGCCGCGUGAGUGAUGACGGCCUUCGGGUUGUAAAGCUCUGUCUUCGGGGACGAUAAUGACGGUACCCGAGGAGGAAGCCACGGCUAACUUCGUGCCAGCAGCCGCGGUAA
Molecule: ribosomal RNA, 478 nt
Filed under: uncultured bacterium
Lineage: Bacteria
Description: partial 16S ribosomal RNA
Rfam family: Bacterial small subunit ribosomal RNA
Source: RNAcentral